This 465-nucleotide ribosomal RNA is filed under the name uncultured Klebsiella sp. RNAcentral describes it as "bacterial SSU rRNA". It matches the Rfam family "Bacterial small subunit ribosomal RNA", at positions 338 to 795 of the family's 1533-position model. The record is from RNAcentral. Lineage: Bacteria; Pseudomonadati; Pseudomonadota; Gammaproteobacteria; Enterobacterales; Enterobacteriaceae.
CCUACGGGCGGCUGCAGUGGGGAAUAUUGCACAAUGGGCGCAAGCCUGAUGCAGCCAUGCCGCGUGUGUGAAGAAGGCCUUCGGGUUGUAAAGCACUUUCAGCGGGGAGGAAGGCGUUAAGGUUAAUAACCUUGUCGAUUGACGUUACCCGCAGAAGAAGCACCGGCUAACUCCGUGCCGGCAGCCGCGGUAAUACGGAGGGUGCAAGCGUUAAUUGGAAUUACUGGGCGUAAAGCGCACGCAGGCGGUCUGUCAAGUCGGAUGUGAAAUCCCCGGGCUCAACCUGGGAACUGCAUUCGAAACUGGCAGGCUAGAGUCUUGUAGAGGGGGGUAGAAUUCCAGGUGUAGCGGUGAAAUGCGUAGAGAUCUGGAGGAAUACCGGUGGCGAAGGCGGCCCCCUGGACAAAGACUGACGCUCAGGUGCGAAAGCGUGGGGAGCAAACAGGAUUAGAUACCCCAGUAGUC